This 615-nucleotide ribosomal RNA is filed under the name uncultured bacterium. RNAcentral's name for it is "bacterial SSU rRNA". It matches the Rfam family "Bacterial small subunit ribosomal RNA", at positions 338 to 1533 of the family's 1533-position model. The record is from RNAcentral.
CCUACGGGAGGCAGCAGUGGGGAAUUUUGGACAAUGGGCGCAAGCCUGAUCCAGCAAUGCCGCGUGAGUGAAGAAGGCCUUCGGGUUGUAAAGCUCUUUUGUCAGGGAAGAAACGGUGAAGGCUAAUAUCCUUUGCUAAUGACGGUACCUGAAGAAUAAGCACCGGCUAACUACGUGCCAGCAGCCGCGGUAAUACGUAGGGUGCAAGCGUUAAUCGGAAUUACUGGGCGUAAAGCGUGCGCAGGCGGUUUUGUAAGUUUGUCGUGAAAUCCCCGGGCUCAACCUGGGAAUGGCGAUGAAGACUGCAAGGCUAGAAUCUGGCAGAGGGGGGUAGAAUUCCACGUGUAGCAGUGAAAUGCGUAGAGAUGUGGAGGAACACCGAUGGCGAAGGCAGCCCCCUGGGUCAAGAUUGACGCUCAUGCACGAAAGCGUGGGGAGCAAACAGGAUUAGAUACCCUGGUAGUCCACGCCCUAAACGAUGUCUACUAGUUGUCGGGUUUUAAUUAACUUGGUAACGCAGCUAACGCGUGAAGUAGACCGCCUGGGGAGGUACGGUCGCAGAUAAACUACAANAGAUAGAGCGNGAGAGNGCGACGACGACGACGAGGGAGGAGG